AUUUAAGUAGUUUAUUUAAAAUAUUAAUUUGUGGAAUUAGUGAAAUGAUUAUUUCAUCUUAAAUA
This 65-nucleotide transfer RNA is filed under the name Pissodes strobi. RNAcentral describes it as "tRNA-His". Lineage: Eukaryota; Metazoa; Arthropoda; Insecta; Coleoptera; Curculionidae. The record is from RNAcentral.